This 426-nucleotide ribosomal RNA is filed under the name uncultured prokaryote. RNAcentral describes it as "bacterial SSU rRNA". It matches the Rfam family "Bacterial small subunit ribosomal RNA", at positions 355 to 774 of the family's 1533-position model. The record is from RNAcentral.
UCGAGAAUUUUUCACAAUGGGCGCAAGCCUGAUGGAGCGACGCCGCGUGGGGGAUGAAGGGCUUCGGCUCGUAAACCCCUGUCAUUCGCGAGUAACCGUUGGAUGCUAAUAUCAUCCAAUCUGAUAGUAGCGAAAGAGGAAGGGACGGCUAACUCUGUGCCAGCAGCCGCGGUAAUACAGAGGUCCCGAGCGUUGUUCGGAUUUACUGGGCGUAAAGGGUGCGUAGGCGGUCGGGUAAGUUUGAUGUGAAAUCUCCAAGCUUAACUUGGAAACGGCAUUGAAUACUGUCCGGCUCGAGGGUUGGAGGGGGGACUGGAAUUCCCGGUGUAGCAGUGAAAUGCGUAGAUAUCGGGAGGAACACCAGUGGCGAAGGCGAGUCCCUGGACAACACCUGACGCUGAGGCACGAAAGCUAGGGGAGCAAACA